Molecule: ribosomal RNA, 341 nt
Filed under: uncultured soil bacterium
Lineage: Bacteria
Description: bacterial SSU rRNA
Rfam family: Bacterial small subunit ribosomal RNA
Source: RNAcentral
AGAUUGAACGCUGGCGGCAUGCCUUACACAUGCAAGUCGAACGGUAGAGUAGCAAUACUUGAGAGUGGCGAACGGGUGAGUAAUAUAUCGGAACGUGCCCAGUCGUGGGGGAUAACGUAGAGAAAUUUACGCUAAUACCGCAUACGAUCUAAGGAUGAAAGCGGGGGACCGUAAGGCCUCGCGCGAUUGGAGCGGCUGAUAUCAGAUUAGGUUGUUGGUGAGGUAAAAGCUCACCAAGCCGACGAUCUGUAGCUGGUUUGAGAGAACGACCAGCCACACUGGGACUGAGACACGGCCCAGACUCCUACGGGAGCAGCAGUGGGGAAUUUUGGACAAGUGGG